This 3101-nucleotide long non-coding RNA is filed under the name Sus scrofa (pig). Its description in RNAcentral is "lncRNA (ENSSSCG00000057619.1)". Lineage: Eukaryota; Metazoa; Chordata; Mammalia; Artiodactyla; Suidae. The record is from RNAcentral.
CUUGAUGACUGCUAUGCUUAUUCCCAUUUCAUACACAAGGACACAGAAGACCCAAGAGAUCAAGUGACUUCCAGGUCACACAGUGAUGAAGUGAAAGAUCAAGCUGUUUGGGCCCUGAGGCCUUCACUCUACCCACUGCAGGGGACACAGACAGCAGAGCUUCCCCCUGGGCGGUGUCGUCCUCUUGUUCUACCAUAGAAGUGGUGUGAAGCGGGGUCCACCCCUCCCUGCAGGCACCCAGCUCCUCUUGCCAGAGGCUCCAGGCCCACACAGCCGUCUGCACAGCCGGCUCUGACUUCCCCAGUCAGCACCCCAGGGGAAGUCCACUUGUGGUGGACCAGCAGGUCUCUCCACUCCACAGAGAACUUGCCAAGUUCUCCACCAGCCAGGCUCCGGGAGGCAGGCCUCCUACGUUCCCAUUGCAUAAGUGUUACUCCAGCCAGUUCCUGGAAUCGGAAAUAUGGCAGACCAUUCACCUGAGGGAGAGCCGAUGCCCAGGAGGGCUGCAUGUUUGCUUAGCUGUGCCCUCAAGGCCCUUUCCAGGGGACCAGCUUGUGAAAAGCGUCGUCUAGCAAGGCCCAUUUCUUAAGGCAAAGUGGCUUUAGUUUCUCUGUUCGGUUUCCCAACACACUUUCUCCCAGUGAUCUCUCAGACCCACCUCAGCCGCCUCUGCCCUGGGUCAGACCCCUCGUGGCUGAGUGCAAUUACUCCACGACCUCCUUGCUGGGCUUCCAGGCUUCCUGCCUCCAGCUCAACGCCAGCCUCAACAUCACACCAGGACUCUUGUUCCAAAUGCCAAUCUUAUCGCAUUAGGCCCCAGCAUAAAAUCUAUCCAUGGCUCACCUGUGUCUAAAAAUUGAAUACUUCUCAGAGUUCCCAUUGUAGCACAGCAGGUUAGGAACCUGACUAGCAUCCAUGAGGAUGCGGGUUCCAUCUCUUGCCUUGCUCGGUAGGCAGGUUAAGGAUCCAGCGUUGCCAGUGAGCACUCGUGUAGGUAGCAGAUGCUGCUUGGACCUGGUGUUGCUGUGUGGUUGUGGUAUAGGCCGGAAACCCUAGCCUGGGAACUUCCAUAUGCCACAGGUGUGACCCAAAAAGGCAACAAAUAAAUAUAUACAUACAUAUAUACAUACAUACAUGCAUACUUCUCCACUGUGCAAAUUAUCUACAAUGAAAAUAUACUAUUAGAAUAAUUUGAAAGAAACUAUUUUAAGAUCUGCUUCCACCCCUAGACCGCAAGUUUCUUGAAGUACGCAGAAUGUCUUUUUUUUGUCUCGAGGACACAGUUCAGUGCCCUGUCGAUGGCAGGGAAGAGGGCAAGACAUGCAGAUAGUCACUGUCAUUUGACUGGGUUGAUUAAAUCCCAGCCCAAACAAUUUAGCCAGUAUGUGCAGCCUUAUCAGAGAUAAAGAAACAAUUGCCCUUAUAGUGUUUGAUUCUGAGACCCUCUUUCUCCAUCUGUAGUAGACGAGAACUCCCGCUGGGGACCCAUUUGUUGAACCUCCCCCCUGUACUGGUGCAGACGAUGCUCUUCAAGCUGCUGAGGGACCCUGAUUUCGAUGAGCCCCCAGGACAGAACCAGGGAAGUGAGGAGGAGUUAGCGGGAGGACCGUCUCCACCCCAUGCGCUCUCACCCAUCUACCUGAAACUCCAGUCCAGCCUUUCCGGCAGCUCGUGUCUCGGGGGUCAGAUCUAGGCUCUGCUCGGAAGCCGCUCCGUGCCACGUAGCAAACCACUUCCCUUCUGGAGAUGCCGUGUUUGCACCUGUUCAUGAUGAGUUGCGAAAACUAAAUAAAAUCACACACACACACACACACACACACACACACACACACACACAUGCGUUUCUGUCUCUCCUGCGCAAUCAGGCACUUGAACUGGAGAGGUUGUGUCGCUCUCUUCCUCCAAGUUCCUAGAAGAGGCUCUUGAACUGAUUGGGUAUUUAGCCAAUGCCUCGGGGAAGGAAUGGACCUAAGGCCUGGAUGUGUCGGCACCAAUGACCUCUAGUGAGAACAAGGCUAAGGCUACGGGCACAGGGUAGGCCCUGACUGGGGCCUGAGAAAGCAGGCUGCCAGGGGAAGCCGGCAGGCGUCCAUCUUCCAGGCGGCUUCCAGGGAAACAUUUUAUUCACUUUCUGACUGAAUUUGCCCACAUUUGGGAUUUAUCUUACAGUUCCAACAGGCUCAGGAACUUGGUUCUGUGGGCCCCCCAAGAGCUGAUCCUUCCCUCCCGACGCCAGGAACGAGUGUCCUGGAAGCCGGCUUGCUCAUGUACAGAGGGCAAGGAGGCACCAUCACGUGGGCAUGAAAUCCACGCCGUGGCACAGGCAAGGGCCUUCUCUCCCUGGGGACUUCAGGGCUGGGGGAUGUCAGGUCACUCUCUGAGGGUUGCUGGGGGAGCUAGGGAUCAGGGCAGAAAAAUUAGAUGAAUAAACUGUCUCACAGCACCCAAUUAAGAUAGCCUCAUGUGAUUCCCCGCACACAGCCUGGACAGAGUGCCCAAAUUUCCCUGAGUGACUCUGCUUUCCUUUCUUCUUCGAAUAGAUUUGAGAUCUACAGUCGGAUUAAGAUCAGCUGACUCUCACAGUCCUGGGAGCCAUCCUGUCUCCUCGCUAAUCCUCUGCGCCUCUCUUAAACUUUAACUCUCAAAGGAUAAUCUUAUUUCCAUAUGUCUGAGUUCUCCCAGGAAGUUCCUAUGUGCUGGCAAUGGUGGUUUUCCUUAAGAACAGCCUGGUAGAGUGGAAUGAACAUCAAAUCUACAGUCAAGAGAGGAGGAUUAGGAACAAGUUGAGACACUUGGAUGAAAUGAACCCUACCUCAUCAUCUGCUAGGUGGAAAGGAAAUACUAAUAACUCCUCCUCUAGGGUAGUGGUAAGGGUCAAAUGAGGUCAAGGAUGCUAUCAACCCUGUACAACUUGCUAGUCAUUCUUCCUUUCUUUUUUUUUUUUUAUGGCUGUACCUGCUUUUGGAGGUUCCCAGGCUAGGGGUCACAUCAGAGCUGCAGCUACAGCCUAGCCCACAGCCACAGCAACACGGGAUCCAAGCUAUAUCUGUGACCUACAGCGCAGUUUGUGGCAAUGCUGGAUCUUUAACCCACCGAGCAAG